This is a small nuclear RNA of Heterocephalus glaber (naked mole-rat), 177 nucleotides long. Its record names the gene U2. It matches the Rfam family "U2 spliceosomal RNA". From Rfam's summary of the family: U2 is a small nuclear RNA (snRNA) component of the spliceosome (involved in pre-mRNA splicing). Complementary binding between U2 snRNA (in an area lying towards the 5' end but 3' to hairpin I) and the branchpoint sequence (BPS) of the intron results the bulging out of an unpaired adenosine, on the BPS, which initiates a nucleophilic attack at the intronic 5' splice site, thus starting the first of two transesterification reactions that mediate splicing. NCBI's taxonomy places the organism in Eukaryota, Metazoa, Chordata, Mammalia, Rodentia, Bathyergidae. The record is from Ensembl.
AUCACUUCUCGGCCUUUUGGCUAAGAUCAAGUGUAGUAAUCUGUAAAACAGAACCAGGCGUUGUGCAUCAGGAGAUCACCUAGGUUUUCUGAUUUCCUCCUUGGCUAUCAAAUUUGUGUAGUUAGCAUUUAAUGUGUAGCAAAUCUUGUACUAAAGACUUUCUGUGUAUUACCUCAU